CUGCUAUAGAGGAGGGAGAGACGUGAGGAGGUGCUAUUUACCCAAGCCGGAGAGAGGAGUUCAGCUCUCCCACUUUUAGCAGGAAGGUCCCCCUUCAUCUGCCCCAGCUCAAAGAGAGGAGCUUUUGCUAGUGUCACCCGCUGGAAGGAAGAUAUGGAAACGUGUUUGGCUGCUGGGCAGAACAAGAUAUUAAACAGGUACUACUGGACUCCAGAACAUUUGUUUAAGACUAGAGUGGCAACUGCCCCCCGAGGAAGCCAAAGCCAGAACUAGACGCAGUACUCAAGCAGCGGUCACACCAGUGCUAAAUACAGAGCCCCCAUUGGCCUGGGACGGCGAACCGCGUCCAGUGGGAGCCACAAUCGGCCAAACCUGCAGAUGCAGCAGGUAAACAAACCGGCCUGGCCCACCAGGGGGCUUACCCUGGCGAGCCGUGUGCCAAAGGUUGCCGAUCCCUGUACUAAUGGAAUGGCAUGAGUAUUGUAACCCCUUUAGGGUUUUGAGAGCAUGGCCCCUUUAAAUCUUUGUCCUGAAGGGGAAGUGCUGAUUGUUCCUGAAGAAGGAAGUGCUGUUGGGGGAAGUGAGGGGGAGCAGAGAAAGAGGGAAAAGAGACAGGAUGUGUGUGUCUGGAGUUCUAGACAGAAGGUCUGCAGUAAACAGGCCCUCACAGAGUGAAGCAGCUGAGAACCUGCCAGAAGCCUGGGAAUGACAUAGUGACUGACCGGGGCCCCAAGACAGGAGUCAGGAGGAGCACUCUGCCAGGGAGGCAAGUAUCAGAAGGGAGGAACCGCCAGGGAGGAAUCACCCGAAAAGGACAAGCCAGAGCUGGACCCUAUAUCACUGCUGCCCAGAGCUGUCUGGGGCCAUGAGUACUGAGACUUGUGACUUUGCAUUGGGAAUAAGGAGGGAGGCUGUUAACUAGUUAAGUGAGGAAGCUGUUGUUCUGUGUGGCUUUGUAGAGAGUGUCAGAAGAGGGCACCCGAGGGGUUUACUGGGGAGAGUUUACUAGCACCAAAGACGACCAGGAGCACCCAAAACUAACCACUGGACUGGAACUUUGCCCAGGAUUCCUGAUCUCUGUGUGAAGACACAUUGCUCGAUGUCUGCCCUUUCAGACUGUGGUACCACUGGGCCUGUGGGGCCUUGAGUUGAAUGUAACCCUGUUUUACCACUCCCCCUGUAUUUCCCCCUGUUGUUUUUCUCCUUUCAUCCCUCUGUAAACAAACAUUUCCCUUUCCCAUCUUCAUUGUACUCUUCCAAGGUGUAUGCGUUCACUCUGGGGGAUUGGAACAGGUGCCCCUGAGGUGGAAGGGACUUUCACUGCUCCAUUCCUGCACAUGCCUUUUCUUGGCCAGAGCUGCCUGCAGAGCAGACUCCAUCUUGGCCAUGAGGGCACUGAAGUUAUAGUGGUAUAACCAUACGACUAUAGGACUAUAACAAGGUUUAAAAGAGAACUAGAUAAAUUCAUGGAGGUUAAGUCCAUUAAAGGCUAUUAGCCAGGAUGGGUAAGCAAUAGUGUCCCUAGCCUCUGUUGUUAGAGGGUGAAGAUGGAUGUCAGGAGAGAGAUCACUUGAUCAUUACCCUGUAAGGUUCACUCCCUCUGGGGCACCUGUCAUUGUCCACUGUCAGUAGACAGGAUACUGGGCUUUGGUCUGACCCAGUAUGGCCGUUCUUAUGUUCUUAUGAUGAGACUAUAUCAAACAGAACAGAAAUAUUUACUGAACACGUCUGUCUUUUCUGCAAUAUUACUAAUAAUUCUACUAGUUCCAUCUAGCAAUGGCCCAAUACCAUUGGCAGGUAUUGGUCUUGUUCCUAAUAUAUUUUAAAAACCUCCUUCUUAUUGUCUUUAACUCUGCUGGCCAUAGAUUUCUCCUUGUAUCCCUUUGAUUCCCUUAUCAGUUUUCUAUAAUGCUAAGCUUCUGAUUUAUAUUCAUUACUGUCAACUUCUCCUUUCUUAUAUAUUAUUUUUUAUGGCUGCCCUCACUUCCCCUCUAAACCAAGUCAUUUUAUUAACCAGCAGAGCCUUGGUAAUCAAUUGUGAGAUGGCUAGAGACAAUAGCUAGGUUGACAGAAGCAUUCUUCCAUCAACCUAGUUGCAGCUAUACUGGAGGUUAGGUUGGCAUAGCUACAGCACUCAGGGGUGUGGAUUUUUCACAACCCUGAGAGCUGUAGCUAUGGUGAUCUAAAUUGUAGGUAUAGAUCAGGCCUGAGACUAACUACACUGAUUGCCUAUAACAACAAAUUAGCUGGGAAAUAAAGAUCACAAUUGAAGUGAUAGUCUCAAUUAGCCAGUCUUAGCAGAUAGAUUAUGUGGGCACAAAAAAAUUUUCUGACCUCUGGGAAGAUAAAGUACAGUACUUCCAAAUAUGAGUGGCCCUCAUUUGGAAGUAUCAAAAAAUUUCUAAAUUAUCUUUGGAUCACUAUAACCAAUAGCUACAUUUUUUGUGUUAUCCAGAUGACUAAGUCAUAAAUGCAUUCUAAAUCCCAAUUUAGUCUUGGCUUGGUCUUCUCUGUACAUGCUGUAUGUGUCAUGAUUAGCUACUGUUGAUGAUUUAAUAUCAAUAUGACAAAUGAAUCAUCCACUGAAUCACUUCAGAGUUUGUCUCUGAACUGUUUUAAGAAUCAUUACAGUGCUGUUACUCUGCAUGUCAGUUCCCAGUAAACUGAAUUUUCUAAACUAUAAUCUGUUAAAAUGUGUUCCAAAUGCCACUGCAUAUGUACUGUAUGCUAAUUCAAUAUUCCAAUAUCCUUUACUUCCCUUGUUUUCUCCAUCCUCUAUGAUUUGAUCUGUACUUAUGUUUCCUGUAUAAAUUAAGAUUGAAAAUUCCUCAGGGCAGGGGCCUCAUCUGUAUAGCAUUAUCUGUAAAUCAUUAUCCAUACCUGUGAUGCUACAUGUAUAAUAAAUGAAAAUAGGUGUUACAGUAAUAGUUUUUGGUAACAAAACUGAAAGGUGAAACAACAAUAGUAUCCCAUCCAAAUUGUAACAACUCUCUAUGGUCUCCUGACGGUACUUCUGCUUGCACUGGGAAGUAUAACAGCUAAAAUUAGGAUUAGUCUCUUCCUAUUAGUACAACCUUAAAAGGGAUUGGUCCAUUAAUUAAAAAACCCAAAGCCCCUGGUUGUGUUAUACUACAAACCAUGUUGUCACAAUCAGCCCUGAAUCUUGAGUAUGUCUUCAUUCACCAGUUACAGUUUCGCCUACCAAGUUUUACCAAAAGUUUUGCCGAAAGUCAAAUGAAUGUUUGCACAGUACAUCUAGCAUGUGUAAGAAGGGAGCCAUCGUGAAUCACAACUCAUUGGGGCCUUGCUUGGCUCUAUGGACAUCCUGCCAUCAGCUCCCUCAGAGUCUACUUGCACCCAGAGCCUUUAAACAAUAUUCCCUUCUCCUGGGGUCCAAUUUAUGUAGUUCAAAUCAGCUUACCCCCAGAAAGCUCCCUUUUAGGUUCUAGGGGCUUCCCAGACCUCUUUUUUGGGGCAGAGGGGAUUUCAUGUGAGGCUUCUCCCUCCUUGGCACAGGUGACCCACAGCCCGUCUGCUGGAGCUGUGUUAUCGUGUAAUAAAA
This is a long non-coding RNA of Malaclemys terrapin pileata, 3562 nucleotides long. RefSeq lists it as uncharacterized. The record is from RefSeq and is a predicted model, not a curated record. NCBI's taxonomy places the organism in Eukaryota, Metazoa, Chordata, Testudines, Emydidae. The transcript is spliced from 5 exons.